AGAGUUUGAUCCUGGCUCAGGAUGAACGCUAGCUACAGGCUUAACACAUGCAAGUCGAGGGGAAACGACAUCGAAAGCUUGCUUUUGAUGGGCGUCGACCGGCGCACGGGUGAGUAACGCGUAUCCAACCUGCCCACCACUUGGGGAUAACCUUGCGAAAGUAAGACUAAUACCCAAUGACGUCUCUAGAAGACAUCUGAAAGAGAUUAAAGAUUUAUCGGUGAUGGAUGGGGAUGCGUCUGAUUAGCUUGUUGGCGGGGUAACGGCCACCAAGGCUACGAUCAGUAGGGGUUCUGAGAGGGAAGGUCCCCCACGAUUCGGAACUGAGACACGGUCCAAACUCCUACGGGAGGCCA
This 356-nucleotide ribosomal RNA is filed under the name uncultured bacterium. RNAcentral's name for it is "bacterial SSU rRNA". It matches the Rfam family "Bacterial small subunit ribosomal RNA", at positions 8 to 351 of the family's 1533-position model. The record is from RNAcentral.